GACGAACGCUGGCGGCGUGCCUAAUACAUGCAAGUCGAGCACAGGAAAUCGACGGAACCCUUCGGGGGGAAGUCGACGGAAUGAGCGGCGGACGGGUGAGUAACACGUAAAGAACCUGCCCUCAGGUCUGGGAUAACCACGAGAAAUCGGGGCUAAUACCGGAUGGGUCAUCGGACCGCAUGGUCCGAGGAUGAAAGGCGCUUCGGCGUCGCCUGGGGAUGGCUUUGCGGUGCAUUAGCUAGUUGGUGGGGUAAUGGCCCACCAAGGCGACGGUGCAUAGCCGACCUGAGAGGGUGAUCGGCUACACUGGGACUGAGACACGGCCCAGACUCCUACGGGAGGCAGCAGUAGGGAAUCUUCCACAAUGGACGAAAGUCUGAUGGAGCAACGCCGCGUGAACGAUGAAGGCCUUCGGGUCGUAAAGUUCUAUUGUAAGGGAAGAACAAGUGCCGCAGGCAAUGGCGGCACCUUGACGGUACCUUGCGAGAAAGCCACGGCUAACUACGUGCCAGCCGCCGCAGUAA
RNAcentral lists this ribosomal RNA (524 nucleotides) under uncultured bacterium. RNAcentral describes it as "partial 16S ribosomal RNA". It matches the Rfam family "Bacterial small subunit ribosomal RNA", at positions 28 to 523 of the family's 1533-position model. The record is from RNAcentral.